Molecule: ribosomal RNA, 465 nt
Filed under: uncultured bacterium
Lineage: Bacteria
Description: partial 16S ribosomal RNA
Rfam family: Bacterial small subunit ribosomal RNA
Source: RNAcentral
GACGAACGCUGGCGGCGUGCUUAACACAUGCAAGUCGAACGGAAAGGCCCUGAUUGCAGGGUACUCGAGUGGCGAACGGGCGAGUAACACGUGGGUGAUCUGCCCUGCACUUCGGGAUAAGCCUGGUACACUGGGUCUAAUACCGGAUAGGAGACAUUUUCAGAGCGAUGGUUGGAAAGUUUUUUCGGGGUAGGAUGAGCUAGCGACAUAUCAGCUUGUUGGUGGGGUAAUGGCCUACCAAGGCGGCGACGGGUAGCCGGCCUGAGAGGGUGGACGGCCACAUUGGGACUUAGAUACGGCCCAGACGGCUACGGGAGGCAGCAGGGGGGAAUAUUGCACAAUGGGCGCAAGCCUGAUGCAGCGACGCCGCGUGGGGGAUGACGGCCUUCGGGUUGUAAACGCCUUUCGCUAGGGACGAAGCUUUUUGUGACGGUACCUAGAUAAGAAGCACCGGCUAACUACGUG